This 253-nucleotide ribosomal RNA is filed under the name uncultured bacterium. RNAcentral's name for it is "partial 16S ribosomal RNA". It matches the Rfam family "Bacterial small subunit ribosomal RNA", at positions 524 to 776 of the family's 1533-position model. The record is from RNAcentral.
UACAGAGGUCUCAAGCGUUGUUCGGAUUCAUUGGGCGUAAAGGGUGCGUAGGUGGCGCCGUAAGUCAGGUGUGAAAUUUCGGAGCUUAACUCCGAAGCUGCAUUUGAUACUGCGGUGCUUGAGGACUGGAGAGGAGACUGGAAUUUACGGUGUAGCAGUGAAAUGCGUAGAGAUCGUAAGGAAGACCAGUGGCGAAGGCGGGUCUCUGGACAGUUCCUGACACUGAGGCACGAAGGCCAGGGGAGCAAACGGG